RNAcentral lists this ribosomal RNA (631 nucleotides) under Trigonophasmus ruficeps. RNAcentral's name for it is "eukaryotic LSU rRNA". It matches the Rfam family "Eukaryotic large subunit ribosomal RNA", at positions 386 to 798 of the family's 3401-position model. The record is from RNAcentral. Lineage: Eukaryota; Metazoa; Arthropoda; Insecta; Hymenoptera; Braconidae.
CCUGAGAAACCCAAAAGUUCGAAUGGGGAGAUUCAUCGUCAGCUCAUUUUGUAUAUGUAUUGGUUAUGAUAUAAGUUACUACUUGUAGUAUCGCUUGUACGUGCUUUUACAUUUUUUGACAAAGUGUUGUCGGCGUGCACUUCUCCCCUAGUAGGACAUCGCGACUCGUUGAGUGUCGGUCUAUGACCCAAGUGUGAGACUUUAUUGUUUAAUAACUUUAAAGAACCUUGGUGUCUUCUAACCGGCUGCUCGGCGGUACUCGUACGGUAUUUAGCCGCAUUUUAUGUGCGUCCAUAACCGUCGCAAGUGAGACUAGUUACUGGCAGUACGGACCUGGUGCCGUCGCUGGUACUGGUCAGCUGUUGGUUGUACGGUAUUCUAGGACUGGCUAAAAUAAUAAUUACCGGUCGGCGAUGCUACUGCUUUGGGUACUUUCAGGACCCGUCUUGAAACACGGACCAAGGAGUCUAACAUGUACGCAAGUCAUUGGGAUUAUUUAAUAAAUUAAACCUAAAGGCAUAAUGAAAGUAAAGAUCGUCCUAGCGUCGGUCUAGGGAGGAUGAGUUGUAUUAAGAUGCAGCUUCGCACUCCCGGGGCGUCUCAUUCUCAUUGCGAGAAGAAGCGCACCAAG